GACGAACGCUGGCGGCGUGCUUAACACAUGCAAGUCGAACGGAGCACCCCUGACUGAGGUUUCGGCCAAAUGAUGGGAAUGCUUAGUGGCGGACUGGUGAGUAACGCGUGAGGAACCUGCCUUCCAGAGGGGGACAACAGUUGGAAACGACUGCUAAUACCGCAUGACGCAUGAUCGGGGCAUCCCGGACAUGCCAAAGAUUUAUCGCUGGAAGAUGGCCUCGCGUCUGAUUAGCUAGUAGGCGGGGUAACGGCCCACCUAGGCGACGAUCAGUAGCCGGACUGAGAGGUUGACCGGCCACAUUGGGACUGAGAUACGGCCCAGACUCCUACGGGAGGCAGCAGUGGGGAAUAUUGGGCAAUGGACGCAAGUCUGACCCAGCAACGCCGCGUGAAGGAAGAAGGCUUUCGGGUUGUAAACUUCUUUUGUCAGGGAACAGUAGAAGAGGGUACCUGACGAAUAAGCCACGGCUAACUACGUG
RNAcentral lists this ribosomal RNA (481 nucleotides) under uncultured bacterium. RNAcentral describes it as "bacterial SSU rRNA". It matches the Rfam family "Bacterial small subunit ribosomal RNA", at positions 28 to 507 of the family's 1533-position model. The record is from RNAcentral.